UGUCUGGUAUCCAACUCACAA
This 21-nucleotide unclassified non-coding RNA is filed under the name Mus musculus (house mouse). Its description in RNAcentral is "oocyte_clustered_small_RNA11318". The record is from RNAcentral. Lineage: Eukaryota; Metazoa; Chordata; Mammalia; Rodentia; Muridae.